CCUAGAUGAAAAACAAAAAGCAUUAGUCUCCCUGUCUCCUUCCUUUGUCUCGCGAUCCGCUGCUCUCUCCCCUCCUAUGUCUUGCCAUCUCGCGAUCUCGCGAUCUCUCCUUUGUCUUGCGAUCUCGCGAUCGGCUGCAGGAGAUUAGCGAACACGGCCUGAGAGUGAAGUGAUCGGUCGCCGCAGGGGUGAUUUGAGGGCUGUCGAAGGUAAUCGGAUCACCGUCGCUGUUGAGUAUGGUUGGAGAAAAUUUUAGGUAUUCAGAUGUGUUAGAGAUUCAUAAAAUUCUAGAUGCUACAUACAAGCGGUAUGCUACAGUGGUGAAAGAUCAUUUGCUUCGUGUUCAAAAAUUGGAGAAGAAAAUAAAGAAGGUUAAAAAAUUGAUAGCUGAACAAAAUUGUAAAUUGGAGACUGUUGAUAAAGAACUUAAAGCCGUUGAUAAAGAGCUUAAAAAACUCGAGGAAAAUAAGUCUUCAAGGAAAAGCUUGAAAAAAAGUCGUGAAUGAACAAAGUGGGACAAACAAUCUAUGGAAGAUUAUGAAUUUGAUUUUGAAGAUUUCUUAAAUUGAUCUUGUCACAAGAUUGCAUUUGGGGAAAUUACAAGCUUUUUGAAUUGUUUGACUUUUAUUUUCAUUUUUUUAAUGGUGAUUGUAUUUAAAUUGAAA
This is a long non-coding RNA of Zingiber officinale, 665 nucleotides long. RefSeq lists it as uncharacterized. The record is from RefSeq and is a predicted model, not a curated record. Lineage: Eukaryota; Viridiplantae; Streptophyta; Magnoliopsida; Zingiberales; Zingiberaceae. The transcript has 3 exons.